AUAUUCAAGAAAUAACAAAUUAGGAAGAGCUGAGGAACUCAGGACAAUGAGCACAAUCUUCCACUCUUCCUCAUUUUAUCAUCAAAAUGACUCCUCCUAAGAUACUUUAAACAAAGAGAGAUAAGUAUUGCUGUCACCUAUGUCACCUAACAAGAACACUCUGUUGUCUCAACAUUUCAUUUAGUGGAAUCAAAUUUGAAGAACAAAUAAAGAUAUGACAUGAAUGCUAAAAGGCAGUGAAGAAAGAACAGCAAGACUAUUGCAUCUUUUCAGCUUUGGAUUCAGACACUAAAUGACAAGUGUUCUGCUCUGAAUAUUUAUUUCUGUAACUUAAAGCAACAGAAUGUAAAAGAAGUAUGUCUGAUUCAGUGAUCAUGUAUAUGCUUCCCAAAAUGUAUACACUGCAUUGAAUAUGAUAUUGUUGUUAGUUAAUGUUGCUAUUUAAUGACUUAAUCCAAUUGCAAAUGAAAUACAGUUGUUUUUUUACAAUCCAGCUAUCAGGAUCUUAAUCUUGGCCAGCGAAGAAUUAACAAUCCAUUAUAUGAAAUAAGAAAUGAACUGGGAGUUUCUCAACAGAACACAGAAUCAUCCAUGAACUAUUGAUAUAAGUCAAAUGAAACAAAAAGAACAACAUGAAAAUUGUAAUAAACAUACUUCAUUUGGUCUUAUAUUAUGUUUCACUCCAUUCUACAAAAUGCUGGAUCUUGAAUAACUUCUUGUAGAUCAAUACAAA
Notechis scutatus (mainland tiger snake) is the source of this 733-nucleotide non-coding RNA. NCBI's taxonomy places the organism in Eukaryota, Metazoa, Chordata, Lepidosauria, Squamata, Elapidae. The record is from RefSeq and is a predicted model, not a curated record.